GCCGGGAUAGCUCAGUUGGUAGAGCAGAGGACUGAAAAUCCUCGUGUCGGCGGUUCGAUUCCGCCUCCUGGCA
RNAcentral lists this transfer RNA (73 nucleotides) under Hydrococcus rivularis NIES-593. RNAcentral's name for it is "tRNA-Phe". It matches the Rfam family "tRNA". From Rfam's summary of the family: Transfer RNA (tRNA) molecules are approximately 80 nucleotides in length. Their secondary structure includes four short double-helical elements and three loops (D, anti-codon, and T loops). Further hydrogen bonds mediate the characteristic L-shaped molecular structure. tRNAs have two regions of fundamental functional importance: the anti-codon, which is responsible for specific mRNA codon recognition, and the 3' end, to which the tRNAs corresponding amino acid is attached (by aminoacyl-tRNA synthetases). tRNAs cope with the degeneracy of the genetic code in two manners: having more than one tRNA (with a specific anti-codon) for a particular amino acid; and 'wobble' base-pairing, i.e. permitting non-standard base-pairing at the 3rd anti-codon position. The record is from RNAcentral. Lineage: Bacteria; Bacillati; Cyanobacteriota; Cyanophyceae; Pleurocapsales; Hydrococcaceae. RNAcentral also lists the same sequence under 1 other name.